Long non-coding RNA from Psammomys obesus (fat sand rat), 1630 nucleotides. RefSeq lists it as uncharacterized. The record is from RefSeq and is a predicted model, not a curated record. NCBI's taxonomy places the organism in Eukaryota, Metazoa, Chordata, Mammalia, Rodentia, Muridae. The transcript has 3 exons.
GCUAAUGUGACUAUCAUUUUCCCCCAAAUCCUGGUAUUCAGAAUGGCCGCUGCAAAAGCUUUAUAGACGGUUUGUAGGAACUGAUCUACCGCUGAUCUUUGUAUGUCAUGGGAGGAUUGUAAAGUAUUGGCCUUGGCUGUACCAGCCCCCUGGAAGAAUGGUCCUGGAAGAGCUACUACAUAUAUGGGACAGGAGCCAGCAUAAAUGUCAUCUGAGAGGCUUCACCCAGCAGCUGAUGGAAACAGAUGCAGAGACCCAUAUCCAAACAUCAAGAGGAGCUCAGGGAAUCUUGUGGAAGAUGAUGGGGAGGAAGGAUUGAAAGAGCCAGAGAGAUCAAGGACACCACAAGAAAACCUACAGAAUCAACUAGCCUAGGCCCAUAGGUGUUCACAGAGGCUGAACCACCGACCAGAGAGCAUGCAUGGGAGGACCUAGGUCCCCUACACAUAUGUAACAGAUCUACAGCUUGGUCCUUAUGUGGAACCUCUAACAGCAGGAGUAGGCGCUGCCUCUGCCUCUGCCUUUGGAUCCCUUUCCCCUAACUGGGUGGCCUUCUCUAGCCUCAAGAGAAGACGAUGUGCCUAGCCCUACUACAACUUGCUAUGCCAAGGUGGGAGGAUAGCCAUGGGAAGUCCCCCCUUCUUUUCCUCUGAAGAAAAGGGAAGGGGGGCAUAUGAGGCGAGGGGAGAGGGAGGAACUGGGAGGAAAGGAGGGAGGGGAAGCUGUGAUUGGGAUCUAAAGUAAAUAAAUACAUUAAUUAAUUAAUGAAAAGAAAAGAAAAGCAGUCUUGGUAAGUGAGGUGGCCUGGACCCAGAAAGACACAUGCAACAUAUUCUCUCUUAAGUUUGGAUUCUGAUUCUGAAUCUUUAGGUGUAAGUAGAUAACCUGGAGUAACCAUGCAAACCAGGCAAGUGAAAAAGCGACAUAGGAAGUGGAGGAGCUUUAGUGAAGGAUACAGUAGAACACAGGUGCUGUGAAGGAGAAAAUAAAAAAAAGUGGGGGGGGGAGUUAACUAAGGAAGGAGAAGGAAGGAAUACAGAGGGUCUGGAAGAAGCCAUGGGUAAACAUAUUACCUCAUAUUUACCUUAACAUCCAUAUUAUAUAAUAACUCCUCCAAGAGCCAUAGCCAAACAAGGGAAACCUCCCUUUGAAUUGUUGGUCAGGGGAGUCCAAGAGACUAACGCUAUCACUGCCGUCCCUGGUUGCCUCGGGACUCACUGCUGAAGAUGCCACACAUUUAAGAUGCAGGACUGGGAAGAAUGGAGCCGGAACUGACCUGGAAGUCUUCUCCCCCAGGACCAGCCCUCAGGGUAUCUGAAGGUGCUAUGCCAGCUGCCAAGGGAGAAAAGCAAUCAGUUGUCCUACCCAGCUGUGAUGCCUAUGAACCACGACAACCAUGGCCAUAUAUCCCCAGUGGUGCAAUAGUGUCACUCAACUGUCAAAAAGCCAGACUUCCAGGCCACUGCCUAGCAGACAGAGGCGAACCAUGAAAAAGUAAAAAUGUGUCUGUGUUCCAGUGCAGAGACCUGAAACACUGUUCUGUAGCAUGUUGGAACACUGCUAAAGAUAUAUGAUCUCCUGGCCUACUCAUGUUCAGUCUGUGGAGAUAGACACAUAGUUGUCUACAGUA